AGAGUUUGAUCCUGGCUCAGGAUGAACGCUAGCGACAGGCCUAACACAUGCAAGUCGAGGGGUAACAUGAGUGCUUGCACUUGAUGACGACCGGCGCACGGGUGCGUAACGCGUAUGCAACUUACCUUGUACUGGGGAAUAGCCCGUGGAAACGCGGAUUAAUGUCCCAUAACACUACAAUUUCGCAUGGAAAAGUGGUUAAAGUUCCGACGGUACAAGCUGGGCAUGCGUGACAUUAGCUAGUUGGUGAGGUAAGGGCUCACCAAGGCGACGAUGUCUAGGGGUUCUGAGAGGAAGGUCCCCCACACUGGUACUGAGACGCGGACCAGACUCCUACGGGAGGCAGCAGUGAGGAAUAUUGGUCAAUGGGCGCGAGCCUGAACCAGCCAUGUCGCGUGCAGGAAGACUGCCCUACGGGUUGUAAACUGCUUUUGUAUGGGAAGAAACGUUGGUACGUGUACCAAUUUGCCGGUACCAUACGAAUAAGGAUCGGCUAACUCCGUGCCAGCAGCCGCGGUAAUACGGAGGAUCCAAGCGUUAUCCGGAUUUAUUGGGUUUAAAGGGUGCGUAGGCGGUAGAAUAAGUCAGUGGUGAAAUCCUGCAGCUUAACUGUAGAACUGCCAUUGAUACUGUUUUACUUGAGUGUAAUUGAGGUAGGCGGAAUGUGUUGUGUAGCGGUGAAAUGCAUAGAUAUAACACAGAACACCGAUUGCGAAGGCAGCUUACUAAGUUAUAACUGACGCUGAUGCACGAAAGCGUGGGUAGCGAACAGGAUUAGAUACCCUGGUAGUCCACGCCGUAAACGAUGAUUACUCGCUGUAGGCAAUACACCGUCUGUGGCUGAGCGAAAGCAUUAAGUAAUCCACCUGGGGAGUACGUUGGCAACAAUGAAACUCAAAGGAAUUGACGGGGGCCCGCACAAGCGGAGGAACAUGUGGUUUAAUUCGAUGAUACGCGAGGAACCUUACCUGGACUUAAAUGUAGAUUGACGUAUCCAGAGAUGGAUAUUUCCUCGGACAAUUUACAAGGUGCUGCAUGGUUGUCGUCAGCUCGUGCCGUGAGGUGUCGGGUUAAGUCCCAUAACGAGCGCAACCCCUGUUGUUAGUCACCAGCACAUCAUGGUGGGGACUCUAACAAGACUGCCGGUGUAAACCGCGAGGAAGGUGGGAUAGAGCGACAGGCAAGUGGACUCCUUGCACAUCGGGCGGCAUCUUCAUCUUUGCCCCCCUAGAUCGGAAGAGCACACGUCUGAACUCCAGUC
This 1261-nucleotide ribosomal RNA is filed under the name metagenome. RNAcentral describes it as "bacterial SSU rRNA". It matches the Rfam family "Bacterial small subunit ribosomal RNA", at positions 8 to 1273 of the family's 1533-position model. The record is from RNAcentral.